Aquila chrysaetos chrysaetos is the source of this 420-nucleotide long non-coding RNA. RefSeq lists it as uncharacterized. The transcript is spliced from 3 exons. Lineage: Eukaryota; Metazoa; Chordata; Aves; Accipitriformes; Accipitridae. The record is from RefSeq and is a predicted model, not a curated record.
GGAAAAUAAAGAGGACUUCAGAAAUAAAAAUCUAAAGAUUUUGUUGGAGCUGGGCCUUUCAGCUGAGCCUUUCUACAUGGAGCAGAGAAGGAGCUGGACCAGGCUUGGCCAGUGGCAUCUCAAAAGUCAAAACGAGAAACUUUGAACAAGGUUCUGCCUGAUGUAUACGUGCCUGACAGUGUAGGUGAACUGUCACCUUCAGUUAAUAAAAAGGAAAACUGGAAGCUUCAAGAGGAUUCAUAGAAAAAGGCUCUGUAAUGUAGCCUGAUGUCUAGAGAACUCUUCUGGGAGGAACAUGAAUGAAUUCUCAGAGGAAUAACUCUCCAUGUUUUUAAUAAUGCUGAAUUUUAUAGUGUAACAGAGAAGGUGCAUAUUCUUCCAAGAAUCUUUUGAAAGAAAACAGAGACAGCCUGUCUAUUU